UAACCAUCCCGAGCGGCCGAGAGAUCUGGCUCUAUGACGCCGCAGCAACCACCGUUGAAUUCCCGGAAUUCACGGCCGGUGCUACCGCCAGGACCGAUGGAGA
Molecule: non-coding RNA, 103 nt
Filed under: Arthrobacter sp.
Lineage: Bacteria; Bacillati; Actinomycetota; Actinomycetes; Micrococcales; Micrococcaceae
Description: SAM-I sequence
Rfam family: SAM riboswitch aptamer (S box leader)
About the family: The SAM riboswitch is found upstream of a number of genes which code for proteins involved in methionine or cysteine biosynthesis in Gram-positive bacteria. The SAM riboswitch acts at the level of transcription termination control.
Source: RNAcentral